CGCAGGUAUCCUCGGCGCUCUCUCGGCGCGGUUCGAGCGCGAGCGCGGCCGCCAGUAGCCUGGCAGAGCGGCGCGGGACGGCGGACGGCGCUGAGAUGUUUCCUGAGCCUACAGCAAGUCAGAGAGAGCACAGAAAAGGUGACCCACCAACUGGCCUACCUCGGCCUCGAGCUCAGAUGGCCCCGCCAGGCCGGACAACCGCGGGAGAGGAGACUCAGGACCUCUGUCUGCUUCAAACACCGCGGGAGCACAGCUGGUGAAUCCGCAUCAUUGGGGAGAUUUUCUAGGGCUCAAUGUGUUUUGAAGUUCUGUGCUGCUGGCAUCGCAUGAUUUAGAAGCACCAAGAAUGUCCCUGCCGCCAAUCGCUCACAUGGGAAAGAUAGCAAGACAGCCCGAAGGUUAAACCGGCAGGUCAGUGGCGCUCCUGUCCUGCCUUUCUGGAUGAAAGAAUUCUUUUUUCUUGAUAAACUAUAAAGGAAGCCUCACAGACCCUUAUCAGGAUU
Molecule: long non-coding RNA, 503 nt
Organism: Cynocephalus volans (Philippine flying lemur)
Lineage: Eukaryota; Metazoa; Chordata; Mammalia; Dermoptera; Cynocephalidae
Exons: 3
Source: RefSeq, a predicted model, not a curated record